GGUCGCUUAGCUCAGUUGGUUAGAGCGUGGUGCUAAUAGCUUAAUCCUUGAUACGCCAAGGUCGCGAGUUCGACCCUCGUAGUGACCA
This 88-nucleotide transfer RNA is filed under the name Didymella exigua CBS 183.55. It matches the Rfam family "tRNA". Rfam says of the family: Transfer RNA (tRNA) molecules are approximately 80 nucleotides in length. Their secondary structure includes four short double-helical elements and three loops (D, anti-codon, and T loops). The record is from Rfam by way of RNAcentral. Lineage: Eukaryota; Fungi; Ascomycota; Dothideomycetes; Pleosporales; Didymellaceae.